This 75-nucleotide transfer RNA is filed under the name Syntrophomonadaceae bacterium. RNAcentral's name for it is "tRNA-Cys". It matches the Rfam family "tRNA". From Rfam's summary of the family: Transfer RNA (tRNA) molecules are approximately 80 nucleotides in length. Their secondary structure includes four short double-helical elements and three loops (D, anti-codon, and T loops). The record is from RNAcentral. Lineage: Bacteria; Bacillati; Bacillota; Clostridia; Eubacteriales; Syntrophomonadaceae.
GGGCGAGUGGCGAAGCGGUAACGCUGCGGUCUGCAAAACCGUCAUUCACCGGUUCAAAUCCGGUCUCGCCCUCCA